Molecule: long non-coding RNA, 1171 nt
Organism: Trichoplusia ni (cabbage looper)
Lineage: Eukaryota; Metazoa; Arthropoda; Insecta; Lepidoptera; Noctuidae
Exons: 2
Source: RefSeq, a predicted model, not a curated record
ACAUCUUUCUACACAUUACACUCUACACAGCGGUUUGCAACUGUUUAAAUAAGCCUAUGCAGGAGCGGCUGGUGACUCCAAAAGUAAGCCAAAACCACACACUUCCUAUCUAUAUUAAUAUCUGCCAUUUUAUUUAUCUAUCAUCCAUUGGUUAUAUGUAGACUGCACUGCAUAAUAAACUCUCAUAAGAUCUACGUUCGGUUCGCGUGGGUGUUUUGCGUUAUAUGCAGAAUACUCUGAAUGAUAGCGUGCGGAAGGCACAGGAUCUAAAGUGUCAGCUGCUGAUUAAAAGAUGAAUGAAUAAAAGAGGAUGGGUGAAAGGGAUAGGAAUGAUAGUGUAGCGUGAACCAAAUGCUUUCAGUAGCAGUAGCAGCGGAUUUUCCCUAGGAAAAAUCCUACCCUAAAGAGGGGGGUACUGUAACGUUGUACGUUUUUAUGCUCUAAUUUCUUCGAAUCUAUAGACACUUACGAGUAUAUCGAGUUGAAGUUCUAUAAAAUACUCGUCUUUAUAUUGGAACGCGCCGCACGCCCGAACUCACGUCUCGGAAACCGGUUCCGUUGGCCGAACCCCUGCCACCGUUCGAACUGCGAGCGACGCGUCACGCGAGUCACCGAUGCCAGUGCGACCGGGGAAAGGAUUAUUACCGACCUACCGCGAACAGCUGAGCGCGUACUCUCGAGUUCUAUUUUUUCACAGUGAGGCCCUAAUACCGGCCACUUAAAAUAUAAAACUUUAAAUAUAUCUACUAAUUAAAUUCAGUGAACCCCAUAUCGGGGUUCAAGUUCAAGUUCAAGUUCAAGUUCAAGUUCAAGUCCAAGUCGAGUCUCCAGCUUCAAGCCUCCAGUUCCUGCUCAAGUACUUGUAAGCCACCGAGGCUGCGUUUUCUACUCUUCUUCUUCCUCUUCGUUCCUGCCUAAUGUCCUUGACGCCGUCAUCUAUCGACCGUCAGGAUUAGAAACGUUCCUGCCGAAGACCUUGACUGCCCUUGAGUCUCCGUCGGUCAGCUGCUACCCGGGAAGGAGACCGCGGGCCCCUACACAUCCGGAUACUGAGGCAGGAUAGUGGUGUUUCUCUAGCGACAUUCAAUUCCUCGCGCGCUCGAUAUUUUAAAACCACCCCCAGCUCAACCGACUAAUUGUUUUUUUCUCAAGAAUAAAUUGUUAAUCUCAU